UAGGGAAUAUUGGUCAAUGGGCGCAAGCCUGAACCAGCCAUGCCGCGUGCAGGAUGAAAGCUCUCUGAGUUGUAAACUGCUUUUGUACAGGAGCAAAAAAGUCCCUGCGGGGAUUCUUGAGAGUACUGUAAGAAUAAGCACCGGCUAAUUCCGUGCCAGCAGCCGCGGUAAUACGGAAGGUGCAAGCGUUAUCCGGUUUUAUUGGGUUUAAAGGGUGCGUAGGCGGCUUAUUAAGUCAGUAGUGAAAUCCUAGUGCUUAACGCUAGAACUGCAAUUGAUACUAUUAGGCUUGAGUUAAGAAGAGGUAAGCAGAAUUUAUGGUGUAGUAGUGAAAUGCUUAGAUAUCAUAAGGAAUACCAAUAGCGUAGGCAGCUUACUGGUCUUUAACUGACGCUGAGGCACGAAAGCGUGGGGAGCAAACA
This 422-nucleotide ribosomal RNA is filed under the name uncultured bacterium. RNAcentral describes it as "partial 16S ribosomal RNA". It matches the Rfam family "Bacterial small subunit ribosomal RNA", at positions 355 to 774 of the family's 1533-position model. The record is from RNAcentral.